This is a long non-coding RNA of Vidua macroura (Pin-tailed whydah), 259 nucleotides long. RefSeq lists it as uncharacterized. The record is from RefSeq and is a predicted model, not a curated record. Lineage: Eukaryota; Metazoa; Chordata; Aves; Passeriformes; Viduidae. The transcript has 2 exons.
CAUCCUCCGUGUCCCAGAGAGAUCCCUGCUCCUUGGCGUCGGUCACUGCAGGUUCCAAAGGGCUUGUCAUGGAAACAGUCACGAGAAAGCCCCUGGAUCCUGGUGGAUGUGCCCAGCACAGGAGCUCUGCCAAGGGACGGAUCUGCACCUGUCAUGCUCUCUGCCAAGGGAUGGAACUCCUAUUGGAUGCUCUGCCAUGGGAUGGACCUGCUGACCCCAUCUGCUCUGCAGGAUGGUAUUAAAGGAUCGAUCUUCCUUC